CUUUUUAUAGGGAGAUGAACUUGACUUUUGUUUCUUUCCAUUUCGGAGCUUGCUCCAUGAUGAUAUCUCAACGGGACACGAUGCAUUUUAACCCCUUGGGGAAUGACAAACAAUGACACGCAGCCAUCAGUGCAGAGUAUACAGAGUGUCUGAUGGGAUGAAGUGGACCCUGAGCACCCCAUGCCUCCAGGAAGAUGGGUUGAGAUCCCCAGGGCUUCGACACUAUCAGUAACACCUCCCUCGGGGAGGAGACCAAAGCUUUGAGGGGCUAACUGACUUUCCCAAGGCUACGUGGCUAGUAAGGGCCUGAGAUGGGAUUCAGCCUCCGCUCCCCAGACCUCAGUCCAGAGCUCAUGCUCCAAUGUCACAGCUGCCAGAGUGACUUGAAACAAAACCAGGCAGGGCUUGUUCAAAGACAUAAGCCAGCAGCUCACCGUGGGGCCUGAUGGGGCAUGUUGCAUGGAAACUGGAAAUUGGCGUUGAGACCCAGGCUUACUGUGGCACUACAGGGUUACUGCCACUCCAGUGGAUGACACCUGAAAUGGAUGCAAACAAAGGGCUUCUUCUUGCAGUAUGGAAUGUCACCUUACCAAGGCCCAGGAGCUGUUGUCAUGUGCUGAGCAUAAGCCUGCCAGAGCAACGGAUAGGUGGAAAGGAGAGCUCUGAGCUGAGAAUGAGACUGGAGGCAGGCGCAAGCCGUUCUGAGACCCUGUCCAGCCUGACCAUCUGAUUCGGGACGCUCCUAGCAGGUGCUCCAGGUCUUCUCUGGCUCCUCUUCCCCUUGCUGGCCAGGUUCCAGCUCCAUUCGUGCCCUUUAAGCUUCUCAGACAUGCGCAGCUCUUUCCUACUUCAGGGUCUCCAGGCGUGUUGCUCCCUUUACCUGGAGCACUCUUCCUCUGUUCUUUGCAAGUCAGAUUUCUCCACAAGAAUGUUCUCAUCUCAGAAAGUCCUUCCUUGGCCACUGAAAUGGGUUGACUAGUGACUCCCAAAAGAUAUGUUCACGCCCUGACACCUGGAAACUGUGAAGCUGACCUUAUUUGGAAAAAGGGUCUUUGCAGAUGUCAUUAAGUUCAGGAUCUUGAGAUGAGAUCAUUCUGGACAAGGGUGGGGUUUAAAUCCAAUGACAGGUGUCCUUAUAAGAAGAGAGAACAUGGAGUCGCACAGGGAGAAGGCAAUGUGAAGAUGGAGGCAGAGACCAGAGUGAGCAGCCCAAGCCAAGGAAUACUGGCAGCCACCAGCAGCUGGAUGAGGCAAGGCAGGAUUCUCCCCUAGGCCCUUGAGAGGGAGCACAGCGCUGCUGACACCUGGAUUUCAGAGGUCUGGCUUGCAGAAUUGUGAGAGAAUAAAUUCCUGUUUUUAAACCAUCAAGUUUGUGUAAUUUGUUAUAGCC
This 1390-nucleotide long non-coding RNA is filed under the name Equus caballus (horse). RNAcentral describes it as "lncRNA (ENSECAG00000053779.1)". Lineage: Eukaryota; Metazoa; Chordata; Mammalia; Perissodactyla; Equidae. The record is from RNAcentral.